This 449-nucleotide ribosomal RNA is filed under the name uncultured bacterium. Its description in RNAcentral is "partial 16S ribosomal RNA". It matches the Rfam family "Bacterial small subunit ribosomal RNA", at positions 29 to 523 of the family's 1533-position model. The record is from RNAcentral.
AACGAACGAUGGCGGCAUGCCUAACACAUGCAAGUCGAACGAGAUCUUCGGGUCUAGUGGCGCACGGGUGCGUAACGCGUGGGAAUCUGCCCUUUGGUUCGGAAUAACAGUUGGAAACGACUGCUAAUACCGGAUGAUGACGAAAGUCCAAAGAUUUAUCGCCAGAGGAUGAGCCCGCGUAGGAUUAGCUAGUUGGUGUGGUAAAGGCGCACCAAGGCGACGAUCCUUAGCUGGUCUGAGAGGAUGAUCAGCCACACUGGGACUGAGACACGGCCCAGACUGCUACGGGAGGCAGCAGUGGGGAAUAUUGGACAAUGGGCGAAAGCUUGAUCCAGCAAUGCCGCGUGAGUGAUGAAGGCCUUAGGGUUGUAAAGCUCUUUUACCCGGGAUGAUAAUGACAGUACCGGGAGAAUAAGCUCCGGCUAACUCCGUGCCAGCCGCCGCGGUAA